This is a long non-coding RNA of Triticum aestivum (bread wheat), 413 nucleotides long. RefSeq lists it as uncharacterized. NCBI's taxonomy places the organism in Eukaryota, Viridiplantae, Streptophyta, Magnoliopsida, Poales, Poaceae. The record is from RefSeq and is a predicted model, not a curated record. The transcript has 3 exons.
UUUCAGGUGAUACUGCCUCCCUUCAUCGCUCCUCUGGUUUGAAAUUUCGAGAGACGCAUUGCUCCUCCUCCUAUCUAUCUAUUUCUCUCUUUCACUCGCGUGAUUUUCUCCUCCCCUCCAUUUUCCCCCAGUGGUUUGCGGCACGAUUCGGGCGUGGGUUCGCCAGAGAUCUGGACCGCCGGAGGUGGCUCCAAUGACCAACGUGGGUGCACGAAAUGGAAUUCAAACCGCGGUACGCGCAUGAAAAUGGGAUGCAGAUGGCGUCGAUGAAGUUGAAGAAGGAAGACAUGUGAAACGGGUGAAGAAAGGCCAACAUGAGGUAUGGUGGACUCUCAUGGCAAAAACUGGGUUUAAGGAUAUUUGGAAGCACAACUAGUAUCUCUACUUGGUGCAAGGAAUUUGGCUAGCAUGAG